GAUGAACGCUGGCGGCGUGCUUAACACAUGCCAGUCGAACGGAAAGGCCCUGCUUGCAGGGUACUCGAGUGGCGAACGGGUGAGUAACACGUGGGUGAUCUGCCCUGCACUUCGGGAUAAGCCUGGGAAACUGGGUCUAAUACCGGAUAGGAGCCAUUUUUAGUGUGAUGGUUGGAAAGUUUUUUCGGUGUAGGAUGAGCUCGCGGCCUAUCAGCUUGUUGGUGGGGUAAUGGCCUACCAAGGCGGCGACGGGUAGCCGGCCUGAGAGGGUGGACGGCCACAUUGGGACUGAGAUACGGCCCAGACUCCUACGGGAGGCAGCAGUGGGGAAUAUUGCACAAGGGGCGCAAGCCUGAUGCAGCGACGCCGCGUGGGGGAUGACGGCCUUCGGGUUGUAAACUCCUUUCGCUAGGGACGAAGCUUUUUGUGACGGUACCUAGAGAAGAAGCACCGGCUAACUACGUG
This 465-nucleotide ribosomal RNA is filed under the name uncultured bacterium. Its description in RNAcentral is "partial 16S ribosomal RNA". It matches the Rfam family "Bacterial small subunit ribosomal RNA", at positions 28 to 507 of the family's 1533-position model. The record is from RNAcentral.